This 408-nucleotide long non-coding RNA is filed under the name Homo sapiens (human). RNAcentral describes it as "HSALNT0324813". Lineage: Eukaryota; Metazoa; Chordata; Mammalia; Primates; Hominidae. The record is from RNAcentral.
CUGGACCAGCUGACUCAUGGGGAAUCCUCAGGUGAUGGGAAGACAUGGGGGAGCUCUCCAGCAAUUGUGGUUAAUGCUGGUGCAGGACAGGCUUUCAUGACCAUCAAAACUACUGCCACCACCAAAAUUCAGUGGAUGCCUGCGUGAGUUGGGGUGAAAUGGCAUCUUGAACCUUUCAAAUGACAUUCAUCCCAGAUGUCAUCUCAAGGAUAUGGACUUCUCUUCCAGCCUGUUCUACAUCCGUGGAAAUCAUGUCCUCUCCUGGGUAACUAUGUCCAUGAUCUGUGUUUUAUGAAUAUGGCCACAUUCAACCUCUUUUGGCCCCUGAGCAUGUGCUGGCUUGUGGAUUGUUUUUGUUGUUUAUUUCAUCAGCACAUGGAGCAUACAGAGUUAGUAUAUAUUAUUUAA